This 320-nucleotide long non-coding RNA is filed under the name Mytilus galloprovincialis (Mediterranean mussel). Lineage: Eukaryota; Metazoa; Mollusca; Bivalvia; Mytilida; Mytilidae. The record is from RNAcentral.
UAAUACACAUCGUAAGUAGUCAAUUGGAUUGUUCAAUAAUCUAUAUUUUUAACACAGUGUUCUUUGAGAUAAUAUAUAGAUAUUGUCUCUAUAGAUUGUAAGCCUCAUAUCAGUUUUGUCUGUUCCUCGUAACUAGGUCCCUUCUGCGAUCUGAAAAUGUAAAAAAUAAAAUUUGAAAUACAAUUACAUUUUUGUACAUACAAAACAGUAUUACGGAUGCACUUAUAAGGUGUAAGAGGCAAUACAAAAACAUGAACUAAAAAGUUUCAAGAAUGUACCUUUUUAUAUACCAUUCCGUAUUACGAUUUGUAAUCUCUUAU